GCUUCUGUUUCCUGGAAGAGAUAUGAGAGAAUUUCUUCCUUGAAUAUUUCACCAGUGUAACCACCUGCCCCUUUGUUAGAUGAAGAAAGGAAGAGGAAAGAAGGAAGUGUGCAAAGCUAGACCCUUUCCCUACACAGAAAAGAAGGAAAGAAGAAAGCAUAGUUUCCAUUGCCAUGUAUCAGGAGUCCUCUGUGGCCUCAAGAGGAGAUGUGUGCAGAGAGCAGGCCCUAAGGAUUUCUGAGAAGAAUUCAUGUACCUUUCCGAAGGAUA
This is a long non-coding RNA of Talpa occidentalis (Iberian mole), 270 nucleotides long. RefSeq lists it as uncharacterized. The record is from RefSeq and is a predicted model, not a curated record. The transcript has 3 exons. Lineage: Eukaryota; Metazoa; Chordata; Mammalia; Eulipotyphla; Talpidae.